Molecule: long non-coding RNA, 1215 nt
Filed under: Gossypium barbadense (sea-island cotton)
Lineage: Eukaryota; Viridiplantae; Streptophyta; Magnoliopsida; Malvales; Malvaceae
Description: long non-coding RNA (GBAR_LNC003389)
Source: RNAcentral
UUCCAUACCGUCAAGUGCUGAUUAUCCUUGAUGGGAAGGCCUUGAUUUUCAAUACAGUAGAUAAAGUUGAAAUGCUUUCUCUGUGGUAUUAAAUACAGAGUUAAAUGAGUAAAGGAUCCACCUACUUCUCUGUGGUAACCGAGUUCAUUUAUUUUUAAAACUUAAGAAAAUUUUGCUCUAAUUUCUGAUCAUUUUAAGGAAUCUACUUGCUUCCUUGUGCUAAAAGGAAGGGUUUUCAGGGACGAGAACGGUGACUUACCGGAUCAGGCCAGAUGCUGAUGGCGCAGGCAUGUAUAGUGUUGAGGUAACAUUCAUCUUCACCGUGCUUGAUUUACAAAAAAGAAAAAUAAAAAAAGGUGUUAAAAUUACAAAGCAAUGAAACUUCUGAUUAGAUGUUAUGGAAGUAGUAGAUCUCAACCUGGAAAAUGAUGGUCUUGUUAGGUUUUACAUAUUGAGCAUUGCCCCAUGGAACUAGCCUGAGAUUGAUAAUAUUGAGAAGAUCAGUGUUGAAGACCUUCACAAGUUGACUUACAAUGAAACUCCGGCAAUAUGGACAUAGAGACUCAUAAUAUAGAGACAAAUGAACCUUCUUUGGUUUGAUAUGAGAUUGGGCUUUGGUGACAUUGUUAUCUGGAGAGGAAUGAGAUUGAUAGAUGAAAAUGAAGUUUACAAGGAGAAGAAGGUAGAGUAACUUAGAAAAUGACAUUUUCUAGGGUCAUAAUAAGCUCUCAAACAUUUACAUAUAUAGUUGCUUAUGAAUGAUAUAUCUAUGCCCCGCAAUUGCUUUAUUUUGUAUUAAUAGCAAUGGCUAUGGUCCCCCUAUUUAAUCUUUAGUAUCUAUCUUCAUACAGCCAUAAACCAAGGUUUCUGUUGUGACAAUUUGCACAGGCUUUGCCUGGAAGCAGCCAUAUUUUCAAGUAAAACUUAUUCAAACAAAACAACCAAAAGGAUGUUGAUCUUUCAUUCAUAGAAUAGAAGACACCGUAAACAUAUCACCUGUAACAUGUCAUAUAUGUAAAAGAUAUCAACGAUAAUGAUAACUAGAAGCUGGUUUUAUUACAUGUAGUUGGUGAAUUGUGAAGCAGCUGUAAUGGACAAAGCACAAGUUCUGGCCUCUUUCAAGGUUCUAUCCCAAAUUUGCAAUUUCACUAGCAUAGCAUCCUGGAUGUAUUCUGUUUGCCAUCUUAUCAUGGGUUGAGCCGACACUGGUUGCUU